UGGGGAAUAUUGGACAAUGGGCGCAAGCCUGAUCCAGCAAUGCCGCGUGUGUGAAGAAGGCCUUCGGGUUGUAAAGCACUUUUAUCAGGAGCGAAACGCUGUCGGCUAAUACCCGGCGGAACUGACGGUACCUGAGGAAUAAGCACCGGCUAACUUCGUGCCAGCAGCCGCGGUAAUACGAAGGGUGCAAGCGUUAAUCGGAAUUACUGGGCGUAAAGCGUGCGUAGGCGGUUUCUUAAGUCUGCUGUGAAAUCCCCGGGCUCAACCUGGGAAUGGCAGUGGAUACUGGGAGGCUAGAGUGUGUCAGAGGGUGGUGGAAUUCCCGGUGUAGCGGUGAAGUGCGCAGAGAUCGGGAGGAACAUCAGUGGCGAAGGCGGCCACCUGGGACAACACUGACGCUGAGGCACGAAAGCGUGGGGAGCAAACAGGAUUAAAUACCCUGGUAGUCCACGCCUAAACGAUGCGAACUGGAUGUUGGUCUCAACUCGGAGAUCAGUGUCGAAGCUAACGCGUUAAGUUCGCCGCCUGGGGAGUACGGUCGCAAGACUGAAACUCAAAGGAAUUGACGGGGUCAUAGCUGUUUCC
This 585-nucleotide ribosomal RNA is filed under the name uncultured bacterium. RNAcentral describes it as "partial 16S ribosomal RNA". It matches the Rfam family "Bacterial small subunit ribosomal RNA", at positions 355 to 937 of the family's 1533-position model. The record is from RNAcentral.